This 253-nucleotide ribosomal RNA is filed under the name uncultured bacterium. Its description in RNAcentral is "partial 16S ribosomal RNA". It matches the Rfam family "Bacterial small subunit ribosomal RNA", at positions 524 to 776 of the family's 1533-position model. The record is from RNAcentral.
UACGGGGGGAGCAAGCGUUGUUCGGAUUUACUGGGCGUAAAGGGCGCGUAGGCGGCGCCGCAAGUCGACUGUGAAAUCUCCGGGCUUAACCCGGAAAGGUCAGCCGAUACUGCGGGGCUAGAGUGCAGAAGGGGCAACUGGAAUUCUCGGUGUAGCGGUAAAAUGCGUAGAUAUCGAGAGGAACACCUGCGGCGAAGGCGGGUUGCUGGGCUGACACUGACGCUGAUGCGCGAAAGCUAGGGGAGCGAACGGG